RNAcentral lists this long non-coding RNA (371 nucleotides) under Medicago truncatula (barrel medic). RNAcentral's name for it is "long non-coding RNA (MTRU_LNC002818)". The record is from RNAcentral. Lineage: Eukaryota; Viridiplantae; Streptophyta; Magnoliopsida; Fabales; Fabaceae.
ACAAACACAAACACACAACACAACAAAACUAAAAAAUGGAUUGUAAAAACGUUCUCUCACUCGCAUUGAUCUGCAUUGUCUUCGCCGGCGUCGGAGGUCAAUCUCCGUCGUCAGCUCCGACUACAUCACCACCUACCGUCACCACUCCUUCUGCUGCUCCCGUCGCAGCACCUACCAAACCAAAAUCACCCGCUCCAGUCGCUUCUCCAAAAUCAUCACCACCAGCUUCAUCUCCCACUGCUGCAACUGUAACUCCGGCUGUUUCUCCAGCUGCUCCAGUUCCGGUUGCUAAAUCUCCAGCUGCAUCAUCACCAGUCGUUGCUCCAGUGAGUACACCACCAAAACCAGCUCCAGUGAGUUCACCACCAGCA